This 71-nucleotide transfer RNA is filed under the name Loxodonta africana (African savanna elephant). It matches the Rfam family "tRNA". Rfam says of the family: Transfer RNA (tRNA) molecules are approximately 80 nucleotides in length. Lineage: Eukaryota; Metazoa; Chordata; Mammalia; Proboscidea; Elephantidae. The record is from Rfam by way of RNAcentral.
GCAUUGGUGGUUCAGUGGUAGAAUUCUUGCCUUCCAUGCAGGAGACCUGGGUUUGAUUCCUGGACAAUGCA